Molecule: ribosomal RNA, 520 nt
Filed under: uncultured bacterium
Lineage: Bacteria
Description: bacterial SSU rRNA
Rfam family: Archaeal small subunit ribosomal RNA
Source: RNAcentral
AACCUCCGCAAUGUGAGAAAUCGCGACGGGGGGAUCCCAAGUGCCAUUCUUAACGGGAUGGCUUUUCUUAAGUGUAAAAAGCUUUUGGAAUAAGAGCUGGGCAAGACCGGUGCCAGCCGCCGCGGUAACACCGGCAGCUCUAGUGGUAGCUGUUUUUAUUGGGCCUAAAGCGUUCGUAGCCGGUUUGAUAAGUCACUGGUGAAAUCCUGUAGCUUAACUGUGGGAAUUGCUGGUGAUACUGUUGAACUUGAGGUCGGGAGAGGUUAGCGGUACUCCCAGGGUAGAGGUGAAAUUCUGUAAUCCUGGGAGGACCACUGUGGCGAAGGCGGCUAACUGGAACGAACCUGACGGUGAGGGACGAAAGCUAGGGGCGCGAACCGGAUUAGAUACCCGGGUAGUCCUAGCCGUAAACGAUGCGGACUUGGUGUUGGGAUGGCUUUGAGCCGCUCCGGUGCCGAAGGGAAGCUGUUAAGUCCGCCGCCUGGGAAGUACGGUCGCAAGACUGAAACUUAAAGGAAUU